AGAAAAUUCACCAAUUAUGGACGUUUCUCCAAAAACGUGUCAAGGGAAAGAGAAAAACAAAAAUGCAUGACUAUGAAUCUAGUCAAGUCAGAAAUUCAAGGCCCUGUCUAAAGACACAUCCUGAAUCAAACCAUAUGAGAAAAAUUACAAGACAAGAACACAUUUCAAAAUGGAGGUAGAGGAAACAACACUUUUGAGUAAAGUGCAACUGAUGAUUGUGCCAACAUGUGCUAACCCACAGCCCGCAACUGAGGCUGAUACUCCCUGGCAGCACUCCAAUCUGGCAAGCCCAGUAGUUCAGUUCCUCAACAUCAACGAGCUUGAUAUGAUUGCAGGGAAGUGGUGCCCCUACGUGCCCUGGAACACCGGAGCAAGAUGGCAUUUGUUAGUGUUCAGAUCCGUUUUAGCACUGAAGAUGUUCCAAGCCCCUUAAAAUCUCUGAGUGGCCAAAGUAGGGAAUUAUGGAUGAAAGUAACACACGUUUAAAGGGGCAUUUGUUACUGACAAGUGUUGGUAAUAAAACAAAGUUCUGGAGAAAGCAAAGGCCAA
Molecule: non-coding RNA, 549 nt
Filed under: Pongo abelii (Sumatran orangutan)
Lineage: Eukaryota; Metazoa; Chordata; Mammalia; Primates; Hominidae
Source: RNAcentral